This 497-nucleotide ribosomal RNA is filed under the name uncultured bacterium. RNAcentral's name for it is "partial 16S ribosomal RNA". It matches the Rfam family "Bacterial small subunit ribosomal RNA", at positions 28 to 507 of the family's 1533-position model. The record is from RNAcentral.
GAUGAACGCUGGCGGCGUGCCUAAUACAUGCAAGUCGAGCGAACGGACGAGAAGCUUGCUUCUCUGAUGUUAGCGGCGGACGGGUGAGUAACACGUGGAUAACCUACCUAUAAGACUGGGAUAACUUCGGGAAACCGGAGCUAAUACCGGAUAAUAUUUUGAACCGCAUGGUUCAAAAGUAAAAGACGGUCUUGCUGUCACUUAUAGAUGGAUCCGCGCUGCAUUAGCUAGUUGGUAAGGUAACGGCUUACCAAGGCAACGAUGCAUAGCCGACCUGAGAGGGUGAUCGGCCACACUGGAACUGAGACACGGUCUAGACUCCUACGGGAGGCAGCAGUAGGGAAUCUUCCGCAAUGGGCGAAAGCCUGACGGAGCAACGCCGCGUGAGUGAUGAAGGUCUUCGGAUCGUAAAACUCUGUUAUUAGGGAAGAACAUAUGUGUAAGUAACUGUGCACAUCUUGACGGUACCUAAUCAGAAAGCCACGGCUAACUACGUG